RNAcentral lists this ribosomal RNA (496 nucleotides) under uncultured bacterium. Its description in RNAcentral is "partial 16S ribosomal RNA". It matches the Rfam family "Bacterial small subunit ribosomal RNA", at positions 28 to 507 of the family's 1533-position model. The record is from RNAcentral.
GAUGAACGCUGGCGGCGUGCCUAAUACAUGCAAGUCGAGCGAACGGACGAGAAGCUUGCUUCUCUGAUGUUAGCGGCGGACGGGUGAGUAACACGUGGAUAACCUACCUAUAAGACUGGGAUAACUUCGGGAAACCGGAGCUAAUACCGGAUAAUAUUUUGAACCGCAUGGUUCAAAAGUGAAAGACGGUCUUGCUGUCACUUAUAGAUGGAUCCGCGCUGCAUUAGCUAGUUGGUAAGGUAACGGCUUACCAAGGCAACGAUGCAUAGCCGACCUGAGAGGGUGAUCGCCCACACGGGAACUGAGACAGGGUCCAGACUCCUACGGGAGGCAGCAGGAGGGAAUCUUCGGCAAUGGGGGAAGGCCUGAGGGGGCAACGCGGGGUGGGUAAUGAAGGUUUUCGGUUCGUAAACCUUGGUUAUAGGGAAGAACAAAUGUGUAAGUAACUGUGCACAUCUUGACGGUACCUAAUCAGAAAGCCACGGCUAACUACGUG